UGGGGAAUAUUGCACAAUGGGCGAAAGCCUGAUGCAGCAACGCCGCGUGAACGAUGAAGGCCUUCGGGUCGUAAAGUUCUGUCCUCAAGGAAGAUAAUGACGGUACCUUAUGAAUAAGCUCCGGCUAACUACGUGCCAGCAGCCGCGGUAAUACGUAGGGAGCAAGCGUUAUCCGGAUUUACUGGGUGUAAAGGGCGUGUAGGCGGGAAGGCAAGUCAGAUGUGAAAACUAUGGGCUCAACCCAUAGCCUGCAUUUGAAACUGUUUUUCUUGAGUACUGGAGAGGCAGGCGGAAUUCCGUGUGUAGCGGUGAAAUGCGUAGAUAUACGGAGGAACACCAGUGGCGAAGGCGGCCUGCUGGACAGCAACUGACGCUGAGGCGCGAAAGCGUGGGGAGCAAACAGGAUUAGAU
This 411-nucleotide ribosomal RNA is filed under the name uncultured Oscillospiraceae bacterium. Its description in RNAcentral is "bacterial SSU rRNA". It matches the Rfam family "Bacterial small subunit ribosomal RNA", at positions 355 to 783 of the family's 1533-position model. Lineage: Bacteria; Bacillati; Bacillota; Clostridia; Eubacteriales; Oscillospiraceae. The record is from RNAcentral.